RNAcentral lists this ribosomal RNA (666 nucleotides) under Staphylococcus aureus. RNAcentral's name for it is "partial 23S ribosomal RNA". It matches the Rfam family "Bacterial large subunit ribosomal RNA", at positions 13 to 676 of the family's 2925-position model. The record is from RNAcentral. Lineage: Bacteria; Bacillati; Bacillota; Bacilli; Caryophanales; Staphylococcaceae.
AAGGGCGCACGGUGGAUGCCUUGGCACUAGAAGCCGAUGAAGGACGUUACUAACGACGAUAUGCUUUGGGGAGCUGUAAGUAAGCUUUGAUCCAGAGAUUUCCGAAUGGGGAAACCCAGCAUGAGUUAUGUCAUGUUAUCGAUAUGUGAAUACAUAGCAUAUCAGAAGGCACACCCGGAGAACUGAAACAUCUUAGUACCCGGAGGAAGAGAAAGAAAAUUCGAUUCCCUUAGUAGCGGCGAGCGAAACGGGAAGAGCCCAAACCAACAAGCUUGCUUGUUGGGGUUGUAGGACACUCUAUACGGAGUUACAAAGGACGACAUUAGACGAAUCAUCUGGAAAGAUGAAUCAAAGAAGGUAAUAAUCCUGUAGUCGAAAAUGUUGUCUCUCUUGAGUGGAUCCUGAGUACGACGGAGCACGUGAAAUUCCGUCGGAAUCUGGGAGGACCAUCUCCUAAGGCUAAAUACUCUCUAGUGACCGAUAGUGAACCAGUACCGUGAGGGAAAGGUGAAAAGCACCCCGGAAGGGGAGUGAAAUAGAACCUGAAACCGUGUGCUUACAAGUAGUCAGAGCCCGUUAAUGGGUGAUGGCGUGCCUUUUGUAGAAUGAACCGGCGAGUUACGAUUUGAUGCAAGGUUAAGCAGUAAAUGUGGAGCCGUAGCGAAA